This 73-nucleotide transfer RNA is filed under the name bacterium. RNAcentral describes it as "tRNA-Thr". It matches the Rfam family "tRNA". From Rfam's summary of the family: Transfer RNA (tRNA) molecules are approximately 80 nucleotides in length. Their secondary structure includes four short double-helical elements and three loops (D, anti-codon, and T loops). The record is from RNAcentral.
GCCGCCUUAGCUCUGUUGGUAGAGCAACACUUUUGUACAGUGAAGGUCCCCAGUCCGAGUCUGGGAGGCGGCU